Sturnus vulgaris (Common starling) is the source of this 7834-nucleotide non-coding RNA. NCBI's taxonomy places the organism in Eukaryota, Metazoa, Chordata, Aves, Passeriformes, Sturnidae. The record is from RefSeq and is a predicted model, not a curated record.
CUAUGGCAGAAAGAAAAAUGUAUCAUUUGUUUUUAUUCAGUAGCUAAGUUUAUAGGGCCCUCUUUGAAUAAUUAUGGAUAUCUUGUUCAAUAUCUGAAAAUAGUGGUAUUGUGCCUUCUCUGCAGAUACUGGGGAGAAUGUUUUGAAUGAGUUAGUGGAACUACACACAGGAAACCAGGGACUGGGCUGAAAUAGAAAUUUAAAAGGACAUUCAAAACUAAUAAAAUAGAAUUCAGCACAAUACUAUUCAAGUUCUGAAUCUCUCAUCUCUCCUCUCUCAUCACCUCUCCUUUCUAAUGUAGAAGAAGACCCAAGAAUCUUAAUUCUUUUCAACUUCUAUAAGGUACCAUGCAAACAAGGGCUCUUAACGAAUUGUGGGUCACAAUAUUUUUUUGUUAUCUUUUGAGAGAAUGAUAUUUCAAUGGUGUUUGUUUAAGUCAUAGCACUGAGGAGAGGAUUCUUGAGUUUCAGUAAGAUUGUGUUGAAAGGAAAGGUGCAAAACCCCAGGCAUCUUCAGAUAUUUGUUUCUGUAAUAUUUAGGUACAUUCUGGUUUCUAAGACAGAGUGAAUUUUGUGAGUGCAGGGCCCUGGGCAGCUUCUACAGUUUCUGUGUAAGAGCAUCACCUUGCUAGACCAUGAGUUUGUCUAUUCUGUAAAAACACUUCUCCCACUCUGAUAUAAGAUUUUUCUCGACUUUGUUUUCUCACCUUCUUUCCAGAAUUUAUUUGCCUUUAGAAGCUGAUGGAUGUGGCAUGAUGAGCAAUCCUUGCCAUCCAUUGCACACGCUUGAACACACUUUGAAUAAAAUUUUAACUGAGUAUCAGAAACAAGAAUAAUUUAAUGGCUACAACUUUUAACCAUUUCACAACUGAUCAGUUUAGAAGGAGUGUAAAAUCAGUAUAUUUCUAAGCCAAUAUAAUAUUCUUUGUUAUGGGUCAGUAUCAUUUGUAUCCUGUAUAAAUGAAAAUUAGAAAUUUAGAGGCUUUAUUUCAGCACUGAGUACAACCUGCAUUUAUUUUCAAAGAACAAAAUGUACUACAGGAUGUUCACUUCUAACAUAAGAUUCUAAACCAUACUCCUAUAACUUAGCCCCCAGGUUUCAGUCAUUUUGGAGAGGAAAAAAAUCUAAAAAUUCUUAGAGUAUUAGUCAAUUUAGAACCAGACCCGAAUUUCAUCGCUUGGACAAUUCUUCAUUUUCAAACCUCUGUGUUUGGCAGAAAUGUCUGGAAUGUGGAGUAUUGUAUUUAAAAAUAAAGCAAAACAAUUCUUCAUAGCCACUCUAUCAUUUAGCUAAACAAAAUCCAUACCCACAUCAUUUUGGAAGCAGGGAGUAGUGAGGAUUGGAGAAGUAGUGGGGGAAAAAGAAAGAAUUAGGAGUAAAACUGUAUAUACAGUGGCCAGAAUUAAUUACUCUGAGGUUUGGAACAAAGAUGAAAAUAUAAAUUAAACAAAACUGCCUUUAUUCCAUAAAAUACUUAAAGUGCUAGUGCAAGAAUUCAGAGGGUGCAGUGUUUAGUUCCCAAGAAAACUGUAUGAAAGGCCAGGAAGCCACUUCUGCUUGGUUAGCCUUGUACCAAGGAUCAAAGCAGAAAGGUAUCUCAUUUCCAUGUAUAACUUUGAAGUAUUUUAUAAAGAAAUUCAGAAAAUGUGCCUUUGAGUAGUUCUUACCAGGCUGCCUUGCAUCAGAAGAAUAAAUAAAAUCUAGAAUGUCUCUUUGCUGGAAGAUGUACCAGUACUGUAUUGUUCAAAACUUCUUCAUCUGUCUCUAGUAAUUCUUGGUUUGUGAAGACCAAGAAAGAGUCAGACAGGUUUUUUAUUGCCUUGGGAUAAUUUUUUUUCUUUUGCUCUCAUAAACCUUCCAUAUGCUUCUACAUCCAUGUCUUGUUUUCAAUUUUAGUGAAGGUUUUUAUUUGGAGUCUCAUAAAAUUCUAAUUUAUUGCAGCUUCUUUUUAUAAAAUGCAGAGGGGAGGAGGGGAGUAUUGAGAUAGCAUGUGCAAGGCAGUCCCAAGGAAUGCAUUUGAGAAUUUAUAAUGUUGGGCAGUUUAUCAACCCCUACUUCAGUUAUUGGCAACUCCUUUUCCUAACUCUCUAACCUAUGAGCCUCUUUUCUUAUAGUGUAUGGAAGACAUGCAGUAUCAGUCUAUUUAAGUAAGAAAGUCUUCUUUCUUACUUAUGCAAACUGUCUGCAUUUGCAGAGUGAAGGGAACUCAGGUGAAAGAGCCUCCCCUGUACAUUAUGUGCUCCUACAGCUGUCAGUUCUCACUGUGCUGUUGAGGACUCAUUUCCAUCAGUGUGCACUGUUUGUUGAAUACUCAUAAGAAAUAAGGUAGGAGUGACAUAUCCUUCUGGAAGUCAGGAGGAGAGCGUUUGCCUUUGAGGGAGCAGGAAUACAUCCAGGCUCACCUACUUGUGCUCGGUUCAGGACUGACUCAGGACCAAACUGAACAAAAAGGAACAAAGUGCAUUUCCCAUCAGCAGAACUGUUUUCCUUUGCCCCUCUCUGGUGUUAAGUUGACCAAUCUAAAUGAAAACCUCAUACUUCAAAUAGUGAAGAAUUGUGGUGCUAAUGAGUUACCAUGGUACAAAGUUACUGCGAAAUUUCAAGUAGUACCUGGCUUCCGUGGAAUGAGCACAACUUUUUUUUUGAGCGAGGAACUACAUCACUUUCAUAUAACUAAGUGCUGUGCUGAAAAUAUCUGUGAAAACAACUCUCAAGAGUUAAAAGAGCAAGAGCACAACGAAAGGUGUGAUCAGGCAAGCCAGUAGCUUGAGAAUUUUGUGCAAAUGGCACGUAUACUUUUGCAUAUGUUGCUUGUCUGAUAUACAUGUAAACAUAUAUAUGUACACACAUGCAGAUAUUUUCUGAACAUAUUCUUCUUUGUGAAUGUGAACCCCUUCCCACUCUGUACAUAUUGUGGUAUAUCAGUAACACAACACUUGUGAUGUUUAAAUGUUUGGGGAGAAGACUCUCCUGGAAAAAGUUCACGGGGGUGGGUCCACCUAAGUACUGAAAGAGAAAUUCAAGUCCCGUAGCACAUUUGAAAUCUAUUCUUGCAGGGGCUGUAAGGAAAUAUGAGACCUGCUCUGCUGGAGGGAAACUGCUGGGCACUGGACCCUUUUUUUCCUCCUCUAAAUAAAACAUAGAAUAGGCUUUUAACUGCCUUUUCUCCAUAAUAGCUACUUAACCCUGUUCACUAACAUUAAGGAAAAAAAAGGAAAAUUCCAAGAAAAAUUCCUAUUCAGAGUAAAAAAUAUAAAUUAAACCAAAGUGCGCAAUGCACACCCUUUUCUUUCCUUCCUGUUUUGUUUGGUGUUUUCUAACUCUGCUUUUUGGACAGCUGAAUGGGGGCUGGGAAAGUGUUUACAAUAUUUUCACAUGAUUGAGAUGGCAGAGUUCUUGCACUCUGUGAAAGGCCUUCUGUUUUCAGAUGGCAUUGAAAGUUUACCGUCUUUCCAGACAAAAGGAAGAGAGCCCGUUGCCAGCGGAUGAGUAAUGGGCAUGGCCUCUGCACAAUACCUCCUAUCCAGCCCUAAAUCUACAUGGUGUUCUUAGGCUUCCCGGCUUCUCCAAAGCAACCUUUGUCUCUGCUCUGGGAGACCAAAACUGCUCGUUGGGCAAGUGGGGAUGCAGCCAAGAGGGGAAGGCUCAGUGACAACAGUUGCUCAGUGCUCACUGCCCAGUAUCUGCCUCCUUACCAUGCCACUAUAAUAGUUGGGAACCCAUCAACAAUUGAGCAUCUUCUAUACAAAUAUGUUGCAGACCAUCUGUAUAGUUUUCAGUUCCAGAAGAUUCCAGUAACUCACUAAGUUUUAAUACUUUUUUUUUUCCUUCUCUUUAAUCUGAUGGGCUGCCCUGAUAUAAGUGAUUAAAGCAAAAGCCUGACAUAAUUUCUUCGGAGCUAAAACUGCACAGAAGUUGCCAAUUCCUGUAUUUGUUUUCUUACAAGAAACUUGAAGCAGGCAUUUUCCACUUUUAACAAUUUUUAGGUUCUAUCAAGUCAGCUUUUUUUCAUUUUUUCGGUCAGAAAAAUAUUUUGGUGAGAACGAUUGAUAACAUAAUCUUAGAAAAUAUUUGAACAGGCAAUUCUGAAGUUUUUCCAGAGACUUGUUGGUGUUAUAGAGACCAGUAGAGUGAAAUGAUCCCAUCAUCAAAAUACAUGCAAAAAAAGGGUGAAGGAAUCCAUAACUCCAUGAGAGCUGCAUGGUCAACUCAUGUCACUUCUGCCACCUUGCUGAAUGCCGUGUCACACUGCCAACACUUGGAAGCACUGACUGCUGGCUCCUGCAAGACUGGAAGGAAAGGAAGACCUGAACUUCAUUGCAUUGACUACAUCUAAACUAUUAAACAAAAUUAAUCAGAGAAUUUUCCUGGAGGCCAACUGGCAUGAAAGAGCUUGAAUCCACACAGCUAAACUCUCUUGCCCUCCAAAUCACGGUGGCCACAUCCAAAAUAUCUGUUGGAGGUGGUGCCUGACCUGGGUCAAUACCCAAGCUGUGCUUUGACAUUGUCUGGAAGAGCAUUAGCAGGCUUGCACCAAAACCAUGCCAGGGACCAGUUUAGUAGUAUGGAUGGUUUCAGGCCCAUGCCUUGCUGGUCUUGUUUAGUUUAUUUAGUGUCAGAGGGAAACCUCAGUAAUUCUGCCAGGAGUCAACAGGAAACUCCUUCUGGCCUCAGCCACCAGAAGCUGCUGAGAAGUAUAAUCAUUAGGUUGUUCACCUCCUUCACAUUUGGAUUAUUCUUCUCAUUUUUUUAUUUACCAAAUGAGCACUGAAAAUCUUUGAAAUCUCAUAGAAUAAUAAAAUUGGGUUGUUGCCUGCACAAAACUUGUUAGUUUUGAAUUACCAAGAGAUUUUUUCACACAAGCUGAGCUUCUGGAAAAGCCAGCUUUAGCUCUCCUCCCUGAUGAAGGAUCUCCUAUGGCUUUGAGCAAGUUGCUAAGAGCUUGUGUGACCAGUGCCCUGUUUGGAUAUAGGGUUAAAAAGCAGUGAGGUGUUGAGAUACAAACACACCAGGUGCUUGAGGUCACAUAAGCAUGCUAAACUGGUGUGAACAUAGAACUCCCCUUGAUUUCUGUAGCAACUUAUUUCAUAUGUCUGGGAAGGCAAUUUAUUUUAAACUCUGCCGAAAGAACAUGAGUACAUUGUUAUAUCAGGAUCUUUUCAAAGUCAGAGCUCUGGGGCUGGGUUUGGAUAAACCUGAUAUGUCCUUCAUACAUUGUGAGGUAGUUUGGGGAGCUCGUGCUCUGUGUUUCUAGAGCUAACUCUGUGCAAUGGUAUCCCAAUUAUCCUAUGGAACACUGUACUUCACAGUACUGUGAGAUACUUCUGCCUGCAGCAAUAUAAAUCAGAAUCAGGCAAUUAAUGCCUGAAUCUUUUUCUCUAAUCUGAAGAUAAAUGGCAGUGAAGGCCAAGUAGUUUUAAAAAGCUCAUCGUACAAAAUUAUUAUAUUAAGCCAUGCUGUAUUACUGAGAUUACAGAAAAUUACCUACGUGUAUUGAAUUAAACCAUGAUUUUCCAAUGAUCUCAGCAGCAGCAGCAGCAGAACUGGGACAAUUUAAUCAUUGUGUUAUCAGUUUGGUAGGUAACUACUACCCUGAAUUGCUGCCCAGAAUGAAAAAAUGGUAUUGUUUUAUACAGAAACUAGCCCUUAUUUAACUUCCAGCAUUAGCCCUUACUCUUCUUAGACAUCAGGCAUAUGUUUGAAUUUCUGAAGCUGACAGGUACUGAUUUCAACAACAUUUAAAGCAAUGCAUAUUUUGCCUCAGGUUUGCUAGAGGAUAAGUGUACUCUUAAUUAAUGUGGUCAUCUGAUGUACAGCACCUUGCUGAACUAUCAGAACUUGAUUGUGUGCUUUUACCCAGUGUUCCUUUUUGGGUACAAAGUCUGUUUCAUAAUUGACCUAUUCAUGGAUCAGUCUCAAAAAAGAGGUUGUAGAGCCCUACACGUGCAUAGUCCUACCUGGCCCAGGCUGUGCAAAUCCUAUUUAAUGAAAAUGUUAUGAAGCAAAGAAACAAGUUGUUACCCAGAAUGAUGUACUCAGAAAUUGGUAUAUUUUCUCUGAGCUGGAUUUUGAAAAGCAGGAAGUAUGGUAAAGCAGAGGAGAAACAUUUAACCUUAUCUAAUUUUUCCUCCCUUUUCCUUCCCUUUUCUGUCUUGCCCCUCAAUCUCCAAGCACUCUCCCAUGGAUGCUUGCAUAUGGCAGUGGCUCUGCUGAGACCAGUGCAUCAGUUAAGACAAGUGCUAUGCAUAUGCAUGGUCCAGCACUUCUACCUUGCUCCCUAUCACGGCAGGAGGAUUGGGAUAAUUCUCCUGUUUGCACCAGCUCAGGGGCAAAUUUUUGAGUGCUUAGAAGAAGAUACUCCUGAACAUACACAGUUUUUGAAGUUUACCUCUGAUGACAUCUUUGGGAAACACACUGAUUACCCCACAGGAACAAGGGAUGCAUAAGGCCUACAAGCUCUUUACCAGGAAAAGUCAUUUACAUGGAAAAGUCAUUCUGUGACAGCCAAGAGGUGAAAUGAAACAAAAGAGACCCAGUUCAACACACAUGGACUUUCUGAAUGAAGGCAACUGAAAGGUCAAGAGAAUAAUCUGAGUGAUCAGCAAGGUGGUGAGGCACACACCAAAAGUCAGCUUCAGUCUCACACGUGCUGUUCCAGAUCACGUUUAUAGCAAGCAGAACUUCAGACUAAAGGAAAUAAAGCAUCAAGUUUGAGCUCUGAUGUUUCAUUGAUUUAGCCAAGUUCACAGAAGCCAAAUAUGUCUGAGUUUGUUCACACAGCUGGUGAGCUAUAAAGUCUUUCUCCCUAUAGCAAACUUCUCUCCUCCUUCCAAGAGCUGGGAGAAGGGACUCAGAGUUUGCUGGAGCAUGUGGACAUUGGGAGAGAGAAGUGGGGUCACCUGGUUAGGCAGAGUGGCUCUUGUGUGAGAUUGCAUUUCUCAGACUAAAAGCUCCUCUUUGUCUUCCCCAAAGUAGAAGCUUUCCUUCUUCCACUUAGCUCAUUUGCAGGGGUUCGCUGAGGAAAAUCCACUAGUUCAUGCUGACUUUAGGGCAAGAUUGCUUGAUUUGUUUGCAUUCAAGUUACUUAUUAGUCUAGCUGUAAGUUCAGGUUUGUUUCAGAUACAGUGACCUCUUCUGUUUUACACAGAAAGCAAACAGGGCAGAGUGUAUGAAACCUGUGUACACAAAUCGCAAUGAAUGUGUGUCUGAGUACAGCCCAUUGAAAGAAAAAUAUAUAGUCACAUGGUAAAUUUAGAAAAUUGGGUCAAAGAAUCUAGCCCUUUUUUUGGCUAAACAAUUCUUAAAUGGUGCUUCAGUAAAAGCCUGAGCUGGAAUAGACUUAGACACAUAUUUAGCACAGUGUUAUGAACACUUGAGUAUUUCUGGUUCUGAGACCCCAUCAUGAGGUUAUUAGAGUGCUAAGGCACAUCAGAUAUGAGAGAGAGCCAGGUCUUGCUUGUGCCUUUGCUAAUGGAAACUCACCCAAGUGAACAGAGUUGCUUGGUUUACAUUUGCACAGUUGAUGCCACAGCUUGGCCUAGGACAUAAAAGUUUGAACAUGAGGAGAAAAUAACAAUCAAAUGUCUGCUAAUGCCUAGAAAUGUGAACAGUGGACUGCAUCUAAAACUAAAAGCAAGGAGAGAGAAAUAUCAGGCAUUCGUGUAAAGCACUUGGCUAAAAUUUAGGGUCUAUUUUUUCAUAAUUAUUGACUUGAGACAAUUGGACCUGAUUAUUCAGAAUUAUUAAGAAUGCAGUAUCCUUAGCCGAGUUCUCUGAAAAUGAAAUCUCUGAGGCUUACAGCAAAAAUUAAUUGUCCUAGCCCUCUUAAAUACA